GACGAACGCUGGCGGCGUGCUUAACACAUGCAAGUCGAACGGAAAGGCCCUGCUUUUGUGGGGUGCUCGAGUGGCGAACGGGUGAGUAACACGUGAGUAACCUGCCCUUGACUUUGGGAUAACUUCAGGAAACUGGGGCUAAUACCGGAUAGGAGCUCCUGCUGCAUGGUGGGGGUUGGAAAGUUUCGGCGGUUGGGGAUGGACUCGCGGCUUAUCAGCUUGUUGGUGGGGUAGUGGCUUACCAAGGCUUUGACGGGUAGCCGGCCUGAGAGGGUGACCGGCCAACUUGGGACUGAGAUAAGGCCCCGACUCCUACGGGAGGCAGCAGUGGGGAAUAUUGCACAAUGGGCGGAAGCCUGAUGCAGCAACGCCGCGUGCGGGAUGACGGCCUUCGGGUUGUAAACCGCUUUCGCCUGUGACGAAGCGUGAGUGACGGUAAUGGGUAAAGAAGCACCGGCUAACUACGUG
This 468-nucleotide ribosomal RNA is filed under the name uncultured bacterium. RNAcentral describes it as "partial 16S ribosomal RNA". It matches the Rfam family "Bacterial small subunit ribosomal RNA", at positions 28 to 507 of the family's 1533-position model. The record is from RNAcentral.